UGCUCGUGUCUCCUCAAAAAU
This 21-nucleotide non-coding RNA is filed under the name Caenorhabditis elegans. Lineage: Eukaryota; Metazoa; Nematoda; Chromadorea; Rhabditida; Rhabditidae. The record is from RNAcentral.